UGUCUGUGAUUGGCUGUGCAACCAGAUGUGACAUUCUGUUUUCUGAAACAGAUCUAGGCUGCAGAGCGUUCCUCUGCGGAGAUCCUUGGGUAGGAUCAAUGGAGAAGAGUCCUUUGGCAGCCUCGUUGCUAAUCUUGUGGCUUCAUCUUGGCCGAGUGUGCAGCGUAUUGGAUGUGAACCAGUAUCCUCUGUCGCUUCAUGUUCACGAAGGAGAAAACACCAAUUUCACCUGCCAUUUUCCUACCAGCAGUUUUUAUGGUUUACAGUGGUACAGAUGGGAACCUGCAAAAAGCCCCAAGUUCCUGUUUACAAUUGCUUUAAAUGGGGAUGAAAAGGAGGAAGGACGAGUAAAAGUCACUCUUGAUACUAAGAAGGGUUCUAGCUCCUUGUACAUCAAAGGAUCCCAGCUGGAAGAUGCUGCCACAUACAUCUGUGCCUUGACAGACACAGUGCUCUCCAGGCACCUGCAGCCCAUACCCAAACCCGUGGCUGGUGCCACUCUGGUCUCAGCGUUGACAAGUGCCAUGUGCAGGGUGGAAAAGGCAAAUUCACUGAGUUACAGUGUUUUCAAUAAUCAGAGGAAAGUGCAGACCCAGAUACACAAACCUUCCAGUCACUGUAGCUCCCUCAAUUAACUGGACUAUUACUAAGCCCCACUGACCUCAACUCCCACCGAUAUAUAAGCUGUGUCACUGAGUCAGGUCCCUUGCUUCCUCUUUUGGCAUAACCGAUUCCAGGUGCACUAGAUGGUUACUCCAACCUAGGUAAAGUAAUCUGGUUAAACUAGGAUAAUAUUUACUCCUCACUGUUGCUACAUCCUAAGCACUAGUCAUUCGGUCAUGUCUGUUCACAUGCAUGAGUGGAACAUGUGAAUGUGCCCUCUUCUCACUCCUGGCAAGGAGAUCUGCCUGUGUCAUACCCGGAACAGGCAAUGCCAAUUUUGGUUUUGGUUCAGUUCAACUUGCCCCUUACGUGAUCUGGAUUUCAUCUCUUCUCAUAUAUGGAUAUUUGCAUUUUUAAAAAUCACUUGGGAGGCCUGAAAGGAGCACGGAUGAGGGAAGCUCACUAUUAUGCUUGAUCUAUCCCCUAGUUUGUACUGGGAUUGCGAUAUUGAA
Molecule: non-coding RNA, 1115 nt
Organism: Neofelis nebulosa (Clouded leopard)
Lineage: Eukaryota; Metazoa; Chordata; Mammalia; Carnivora; Felidae
Source: the annotation of a RefSeq genome assembly